AGAGUUUGAUCCUGGCUCAGGAUGAACGCUGGCGGCGUGCUUAACACAUGCAAGUCGAGCGAAGCGAUUUAAAUGAGACUUCGGUGGAUUUUAAAUUGACUGAGCGGCGGACGGGUGAGUAACGCGUGGAUAACCUGCCUCACACAGGGGGAUAACAGUUAGAAAUGACUGCUAAUACCGCAUAAGCGCACGGUACCGCAUGGUACAGUGUGAAAAACUCCGGUGGUGUGAGAUGGAUCCGCGUCUGAUUAGGUAGUUGGUGAGGUAACGGCCCACCAAGCCGACGAUCAGUAGCCGACCUGAGAGGGUGACCGGCCACAUUGGGACUGAGACACGGCCCAAACCCCUACGGGAGGCAGCAGUGGGGAAUAUUGCACAAUGGGCGAAAGCCUGAUGCAGCAACGCCGCGUGAGUGAAGAAGUAUCUCGGUAUGUAAAGCUCUAUCAGCAGGGAAGAAAAUGACGGUACCUGACUAAGAAGCCCCGGCUAACUACGUGCCAGCAGCCGCGGUAAUACGUAGGGGGCAAGCGUUAUCCGGAUUUACUGGGUGUAAAGGGAGCGCAGACGGCACUGCAAGUCUGAAGUGAAAGCCCGGGGCUCAACCCCGGGACUGCUUUGGAAACUGUAGAGCUAGAGUGCUGGAGAGGCAAGCGGAAUUCCUAGUGUAGCGGUGAAAUGCGUAGAUAUUAGGAAGAACACCAGUGGCGAAGGCGGCUUGCUGGACAGUAACUGACGUUCAGGCUCGAAAGCGUGGGGAGCAAACAGGAUUAGAUACCCUGGUAGUCCACGCCGUAAACGAU
This 800-nucleotide ribosomal RNA is filed under the name uncultured bacterium. Its description in RNAcentral is "bacterial SSU rRNA". It matches the Rfam family "Bacterial small subunit ribosomal RNA", at positions 8 to 810 of the family's 1533-position model. The record is from RNAcentral.